UGGGGAAUAUUGCGCAAUGGGCGAAAAGCCUGACGCAGCGACGCCGCGUGAGCGACGAAGGCCUUCGGGUCGUAAAGCUCUGUUGUUGGGGACGAAGGGUUAGGGGUUAAUAGCCCCGAGCCUGACGGUACCCUUCGAGGAAGCCCCGGCUAACUACGUGCCAGCAGCCGCGGUAAUACGUAGGGGGCGAGCGUUGUCCGGAAUCAUUGGGCGUAAAGAGCGUGUAGGCGGUUCGGUAAGUCCGCCGUGAAAACCUGGGGCUCAACCCUGGGCGUGCGGUGGAUACUGUCGGGCUAGAGGAUGGUAGAGGGGAGUGGAAUUCCCGGUGUAGCGGUGAAAUGCGCAGAUAUCGGGAGGAACACCAGUAGCGAAGGCGGCUCCCUGGGCCAUUCCUGACGCUGAGACGCGAAAGCUAGGGGAGCGAACAGGAUUAGAUACCCUGGUAGUCCUAGCCGUAAACGAUGAACACUAGGUGUGGGGGGAGUCGAAUCCCUCUGUGCCGCAGCCAACGCGAUAAGUGUUCCGCCUGGGGAGUACGGCCGC
This 543-nucleotide ribosomal RNA is filed under the name uncultured bacterium. RNAcentral describes it as "bacterial SSU rRNA". It matches the Rfam family "Bacterial small subunit ribosomal RNA", at positions 355 to 889 of the family's 1533-position model. The record is from RNAcentral.